AUUGAACGCUGGCGGCAUGCCUUACACAUGCAAGUCGAACGGUAACAGGUCUUCGGAUGCUGACGAGUGGCGAACGGGUGAGUAAUACAUCGGAACGUGCCUAGUAGUGGGGGAUAACUACUCGAAAGAGUGGCUAAUACCGCAUGAGAUCUACGGAUGAAAGCAGGGGAUCGCAAGACCUUGUGCUACUAGAGCGGCCGAUGGCAGAUUAGGUGGUUGGUGUGAUAAAAGCUUACCAAGCCGACGAUCUGUAGCUGGUCUGAGAGGACGAUCAGCCACACUGGGACUGAGAAACGGCCCAGACUCCUACGGGAGGCAGCAGUGGGGAAUUUUGGACAAUGGGCGCAAGCCUGAUCCAGCAAUGCCGCGUGCAGGAUGAAGGCCUUCGGGUUGUAAACUGCUUUUGUACGGAACGAAAAGCCCCGGGUUAAUACCCUGGGGUCAUGACGGUACCGUAAGAAUAAGCACCGGCUAACUACGUGCCAGCAGCCGCAGUAA
This 498-nucleotide ribosomal RNA is filed under the name uncultured bacterium. RNAcentral describes it as "partial 16S ribosomal RNA". It matches the Rfam family "Bacterial small subunit ribosomal RNA", at positions 30 to 523 of the family's 1533-position model. The record is from RNAcentral.